RNAcentral lists this ribosomal RNA (493 nucleotides) under uncultured bacterium. RNAcentral's name for it is "partial 16S ribosomal RNA". It matches the Rfam family "Bacterial small subunit ribosomal RNA", at positions 28 to 506 of the family's 1533-position model. The record is from RNAcentral.
GACGAACGCUGGCGGCGUGCUUAACACAUGCAAGUCGAACGGUGAAGCGCCUUCCUUUUUGGUGGGUGUGGAUGAGUGGCGAACGGGUGAGUAACACGUGAGUAACCUGCCCCCUUCUUCUGGAUAACCGCAUGAAAGUGUGGCUAAUACGGGAUAUUCUGGGUCUGUCGCAUGAUGGGUCUGGGAAAGAUAUUGUUUCGGUGGGGGAUGGGCUCGCGGCCUAUCAGCUUGUUGGUGGGGUGAUGGCCUACCAAGGCGGUGACGGGUAGCCGGCCUGAGAGGGUGGACGGUCACACGGGGACUGAGACACGGCCCAGACUCCUACGGGAGGCAGCAGUGGGGAAUAUUGCACAAUGGGCGCAAGCCUGAUGCAGCGACGCCGCGUGAGGGAUGGAGGCCUUCGGGUGGUGAACCUCUUUCGCCAGUGAAGCAGGCCUGCCUCGUUUGUGGGUGGGUUGACGGUAGCUGGAUAAGAAGCGCCGGCUAACUACGU